This 386-nucleotide ribosomal RNA is filed under the name uncultured bacterium. RNAcentral describes it as "bacterial SSU rRNA". It matches the Rfam family "Bacterial small subunit ribosomal RNA", at positions 28 to 414 of the family's 1533-position model. The record is from RNAcentral.
GACGAACGCUGGCGGCGUGCUUAACACAUGCAAGUCGAGCGAGGCCCAUCCUUCGGGGUGGUGCCCUAGCGGCGAACGGGUGAGUAACACGUGGGCAACCUGCCCUCAGCUCUGGGAUAACUCCAAGAAAUUGGUGCUAAUACCGGAUGUGACCGCUGACCGCAUGGUCUGGUGGUGGAAAGAUUUAUCGGCUGAGGAUGGGCCCGCGGCCUAUCAGCUUGNGGUGGGGUCACGGCCCACCAAGGCGACGACGGGUAGCCGGCCUGAGAGGGUGACCGGCCACACUGGGACUGAGACACGGCCCAGACUCCUACGGGAGGCAGCAGUGGGGAAUAUUGCGCAAUGGGCGAAAGCCUGACGCAGCGACGCCGCGUGAGGGAUGACGG